GAAGAAUCAUGCAUGACGAAAUCAUAAAAUCCACCGAUAGUUUUAAUGUUGUAUAUUGCAUUGGGAAGGGAGGAUAUGGCAGCGUCUACAAAGCAAAUUUGCCAUCAGGAAGCACAGUAGCGGUGAAGAAGCUCCACCAUUAUCGUGACAGCGAGAGGACAUGUCAAAAGGAAUUCUUGAACGAGAUAAGGGCAUUAACUGAGAUAAGGCAUCGGAACAUAGUAAAACUUUAUGGCUUUUGUUCAUAUGCUCAACUCUCAUUUCUGGUCUAUGAGUACUUGGAUGGCGGUAACUUGGCCACAAUCUUGGGCGAUGACAAAGAAGCUAAAGAAUUGGAUUGGAGCAAGAGAGUAAAUAUUGUUAAAGCUGUUGCCAGUGCCUUGUUUUACAUGCACCACAAUUGCUCACCGCCAAUUGUUCAUCGAGACAUAACAAGCAAAAAUAUUUUGCUUGAUUCUGAAUAUGAGGCCCACUUAUCAGAUUUUGGGACUGCCAAGCGUCUAAAUACUGAUUCAUCCCAUUGGACUACACUAGCAGGCACAUACGGAUAUGUUGCACCAGAGCUUGCUUACACAAUGAAGGUGACUGAAAAAUGUGACGUGUAUAGUUUUGGAAUAGUAGCAUUAGAAGUAAUCAAAGGAAAACAUCCAGGUGAAAUCAUCAUCUCUAUGUCAUCCCCUUCAGCUCAGAAGCUAGUCCUGGAAGAUAUUCUAGACCAACGCCUUCCAACUCCUUCCCCUCAAGUUCAAGAUGAGCUAAUGAUAAUUAUGAAGGUUGCGAUUGCAUGUUUAAACAUCAAUCCACAAUCUCGACCAACUAUGCAUAUGAUUUCUCAGCUUUUAGCAGCUCAAACUCCACUUUUCUAGAUUCAUUAGGUUAAUAAUUCAGCGAUUGAGUGAUUACCUUAUAUAUAGUAGAUUCAGGGUUUAAAUUUAAGUAUCUCCUUCCUCCUUUAGGAAAUUAUCAAAAAAAAAAAA
This 977-nucleotide unclassified non-coding RNA is filed under the name Hevea brasiliensis (rubber tree). Lineage: Eukaryota; Viridiplantae; Streptophyta; Magnoliopsida; Malpighiales; Euphorbiaceae. The record is from RNAcentral.